RNAcentral lists this ribosomal RNA (486 nucleotides) under uncultured bacterium. RNAcentral describes it as "partial 16S ribosomal RNA". It matches the Rfam family "Bacterial small subunit ribosomal RNA", at positions 30 to 507 of the family's 1533-position model. The record is from RNAcentral.
AUUGAACGCUGGCGGCAUGCCUUACACAUGCAAGUCGAACGGCAGCACGGGUGCUUGCACCUGGUGGCGAGUGGCGAACGGGUGAGUAAUACAUCGGAACAUGUCCUGUAGUGGGGGAUAGCCCGGCGAAAGCCGGAUUAAUACCGCAUACGAUCCACGGAUGAAAGCGGGGGACCUUCGGGCCUCGCGCUAUAGGGUUGGCCGAUGGCUGAUUAGCUAGUUGGUGGGGUAAAGGCCUACCAAGGCGACGAUCAGUAGCUGGUCUGAGAGGACGACCAGCCACACUGGGACUGAGACACGGCCCAGACUCCUACGGGAGGCAGCAGUGGGGAAUUUUGGACAAUGGGCGAAAGCCUGAUCCAGCAAUGCCGCAUGUGUGAAGAAGGCCUUCGGGUUGUAAAGCACUUUUGUCCGGAAAGAAAUCCUUGGCUCUAAUACAGUCGGGGGAUGACGGUACCGGAAGAAUAAGCACCGGCUAACUACGUG